GGGGAUAACACUUGGAAACAGGUGCUAAUACCGUAUAACACUAUUUUCCGCAUGGAAGAAAGUUGAAAGGCGCUUUUGCGUCACUGAUGGAUGGACCCGCGGUGCAUUAGCUAGUUGGUGAGGUAACGGCUCACCAAGGCCACGAUGCAUAGCCGACCUGAGAGGGUGAUCGGCCACACUGGGACUGAGACACGGCCCAGACUCCUACGGGAGGCAGCAGUAGGGAAUCUUCGGCAAUGGACGAAAGUCUGACCGAGCAACGCCGCGUGAGUGAAGAAGGUUUUCGGAUCGUAAAACUCUGUUGUUAGAGAAGAACAAGGAUGAGAGUAGAAUGUUCAUCCCUUGACGGUAUCUAACCAGAAAGCCACGGCUAACUACGUGCCAGCAGCCGCGGUAAUACGUAGGUGGCAAGCGUUGUCCGGAUUUAUUGGGCGUAAAGCGAGCGCAGGCGGUUUCUUAAGUCUGAUGUGAAAGCCCCCGGCUCAACCGGGGAGGGUCAUUGGAAACUGGGAGACUUGAGUGCAGAAGAGGAGAGUGGAAUUCCAUGUGUAGCGGUGAAAUGCGUAGAUAUAUGGAGGAACACCAGUGGCGAAGGCGGCUCUCUGGUCUGUAACUGACGCUGAGGCUCGAAAGCGUGGGGAGCGAACAGGAUUAGAUACCCU
This 662-nucleotide ribosomal RNA is filed under the name uncultured bacterium. Its description in RNAcentral is "bacterial SSU rRNA". It matches the Rfam family "Bacterial small subunit ribosomal RNA", at positions 139 to 788 of the family's 1533-position model. The record is from RNAcentral.